AUUUAUAUAGUUUAAAAUAAAACAUUGAUUUGUGAAAUCAAAAUUAUAAAAUUUAUUAUAAAUA
This 64-nucleotide transfer RNA is filed under the name Figites sp. ZJUH 20220009. RNAcentral's name for it is "tRNA-His". Lineage: Eukaryota; Metazoa; Arthropoda; Insecta; Hymenoptera; Figitidae. The record is from RNAcentral.